This 468-nucleotide ribosomal RNA is filed under the name uncultured bacterium. RNAcentral describes it as "partial 16S ribosomal RNA". It matches the Rfam family "Bacterial small subunit ribosomal RNA", at positions 28 to 507 of the family's 1533-position model. The record is from RNAcentral.
GACGAACGCUGGCGGCGUGCUUAACACAUGCAAGUCGAACGGAAAGGCCCUGCCUUUGUGGGGUGCUCGAGUGGCGAACGGGUGAGUAACACGUGAGUAACCUGCCCUUGACUUUGGGAUAACUUCAGGAAACUGGGGCUAAUACCGGAUAGGAGCUCCUGCUGCAUGGUGGGGGUUGGAAAGUUUCGGCGGUUGGGGAUGGACUCGCGGCUUAUCAGCUUGUUGGUGGGGUAGUGGCUUACCAAGGCUUUGACGGGUAGCCGGCCUGAGAGGGUGACCGGCCACAUUGGGACUGAGAUACGGCCCAGACUCCUACGGGAGGCAGCAGUGGGGAAUAUUGCACAAUGGGCGGAAGCCUGAUGCAGCAACGCCGCGUGCGGGAUGACGGCCUUCAGGUUGUAAACCGCUUUCGCCUGUGACGAAGCGUGAGUGACGGUAAUGGGUAAAGAAGCACCGGCUAACUACGUG